CGAAAUGCGAUAAGUAGUGUGAAUUGCAGAAUUCAGUGAAUCAUCGAAUCUUUGAACGCACAUUGCGCCCCUUGGUAUUCCAUGGGGCAUGCCUGUUCGAGCGUCAUCUACACCCUCAAGCUCUGCUUGGUGUUGGGCGUCUUUGUCCCGCCUCCGCGCGCGGACUCGCCCCAAAUUCAUUGGCAGCGGUCCUUGCCUCCUCUCGCGCAGCACAUUGCGCUUCUCGAGGUGUUGCGGCCCGCGUCCAGAAAGCAAUCGUUACCGUCUUUGACCUCGGAUCAGGUAGGGAUACCCGCUGAACUUAAGC
RNAcentral lists this unclassified non-coding RNA (307 nucleotides) under plant metagenome. Its description in RNAcentral is "partial contains 5.8S ribosomal RNA, internal transcribed spacer 2, and large subunit ribosomal RNA". The stretch from base 1 to 106 matches the Rfam family "5.8S ribosomal RNA", at positions 49 to 154 of the family's 154-position model. The record is from RNAcentral.